RNAcentral lists this ribosomal RNA (433 nucleotides) under uncultured bacterium. Its description in RNAcentral is "partial 16S ribosomal RNA". It matches the Rfam family "Bacterial small subunit ribosomal RNA", at positions 29 to 507 of the family's 1533-position model. The record is from RNAcentral.
AACGAACGCUGGCGGCAUGCCUAACACAUGCAAGUCGAACGAACCCUUCGGGGUUAGUGGCGCACGGGUGCGUAACGCGUGGGAAUCUGCCCUUUGCUUCGGAAUAACUCAGUGAAACUUGUGCUAAUACCGGAUGAUGUCUUCGGACCAAAGAUUUAUCGGCAAGGGAUGAGCCCGCGUAGGAUUAGGUAGUUGGUGGUGUAAAGGCCUACCACGCCGACGAUCCUUAGCUGGUCUGAGAGGAUGAUCAGCCACACUGGGACUGAGACACGGCCCAGAAUCCUACGGGAGGCAGCAGUGGGGAAUAUUGGACAACGGGCGCAAGGAUGAUCCAGCAAUGCCGCGUGAGUGAUGAAGGCCCUCGGGUCGUAAAGCUCUUUUACCAGGGAUGAUAAUGACAGUACCUGGAGAAUAAGCUCCGGCUAACUCCGUG